This is a non-coding RNA of Rattus norvegicus (Norway rat), 1611 nucleotides long. Lineage: Eukaryota; Metazoa; Chordata; Mammalia; Rodentia; Muridae. The record is from RefSeq and is a predicted model, not a curated record.
AAAAAAAGUGUAACUGAAUUCUGUCCCCUUCAAAGAAUAACCUAAAAGCCUGGGGCCCAAGCCACUCACCUCUUCACUGCUUUCUACUGUCUUUCCAAGCUCUGUCGCCCUUGGAAACAAUUUCAUCACAUUGGUUCUCAUGAGUGAACUAAAGGCAUGGGAUGUGUUUAUUCUAUAUACAGUGCCUUACGGUGUAAACCCAGACUGGCUUCACACUCCUGACCGUCCUGCCAGCCUCAGCUUCCCGAGUUCUGCACUUAAGGGCAUGCGCUCCCGUGCCCUCCCAUCUUGAACUGCAAUGCUGACGAACAGUGAUGCUCUUUCGCUGAUCCUCUACCUCUGAUCCUGCAAUGUGCUGGGUUCCCUCGGGAGCACUGAGAUUCUCUAAGUACAGGAUUCCGGGUGAGUUCUGUGUUAAGUUCCAGGCAGAUCGGAGGGCACCUUUAUGGAAUACUGAGAGUGAGAAGAGGUGGGGUAACAAGACGGUUUCAAGAAAAGAUGGAGGAGCGCUGGGAUUCAAGAGAGGGGCCGGGAAAAAGAGAAAAAGCAUAGAGAAACAGAAAGGUCAUGCGGACAGAAGUAGAAAACAAUCCAUAGCUCCAACCUCAGCUUCCUGAGAGACAAGGUUACUGGGGAACCAAAGAUAGAACCACAAGGCAAGGCAGGCUGCCCCAGAGACAAAAGGCUGCAGGAGAAAACCCACAUACUCGCAAGCCUUAAACUCAAGGGGAUUUUGUAUGACGAAGGCCACUGUGUGGUAGGCUAACACUGAAGAGAAAUUCAUUACAAUGCUCCCCAUACCUGAAGGGUCUGCAGGGGAGGCAGCAGCAUCCUACUACUUGAGAGUGAGCUACUCUUGAGUCCUAAGAACAUGAAGCAAUCACUAGUCAAGAGCCUGAGGACGCCGUACCACAACAUCAGGGUAGGAAAUGAACAAGUGAAGCAGCCAUGGGAAGAGAGGAAUCAGACACAGACUGGACCCACUGAGUUUAGGCAGCAGGGAACUAAAGGCCUGCCCUCUGUGGCCUAGAGCAAACCACACUGCCUGUAGAAUAUCGUGGAGGCUGAGAAGUCAAGGGACCAGGUCGUGACUAUGCGUUGCUUGACCUCCAAAGCUGCCUCACCUCCACAUGUGGUACACUGCUGGGUGGGUCCAAGCAUUCUGGGUCCAGGUCCUAUCAAUUUCCCCAGCCCCUGCCUCCCGCAGGGUGCCUCACAGCUGGGGGUGAUCUGAAGGUGCUGAGUGAGACCUGUCGACCGGGCGCCUGGACUCCUGGACUCUCUCUCCACCCCAAGUCGGGUGCUCUGCUUGCCUGUCCCACUCGGUUCCUAGGCCCCUGAGCUCACUCGGACCUCAAGCAGCUCUUGGCACACAAAUAUAAUAAGCUUUAAAGUGAAUGCAGUCUUGGAGUUGACAAGUUACUCCUGACCGGCCCAGCCUUUAUCAAACAAUACAGCACCAAUCUCCACAGUGAGAGGAGAAAGGGAUUACCAUAGAUGCCAUUGAGGAUCCAUAACCCACUCUAGACCUGGUGGAUCCCAACGGAAGCGUCUCCAUUUUAUCUCUGUACAUCUAAUAAUAAUUUUACUAAUUGUCUUUACUUUUAAAAA